Molecule: long non-coding RNA, 1653 nt
Organism: Cavia porcellus (domestic guinea pig)
Lineage: Eukaryota; Metazoa; Chordata; Mammalia; Rodentia; Caviidae
Source: Ensembl
UGGGUCCUGCCUUUCUGCCCCCAGCCCCAGCUGAAACUAGGAAGACUAGGGUAGAUAACUCAAGAACCUAGUGGAGAAACUGCAAGGUCUGAAGACGGCACCAUUUAUUAAGUGGCAUCUAUUUCAUACCAAUUUUAAAACCUCCAUCUUAAAUACUUAGCACCAGCGUGCACCGAACAACCAACCUGGCCUCCAGGACGCCGGCCUGGGCCGGAGCGCCGCUUUGCACGGAAACCCCCCGCUCCACCCCCAGCUCUUGGGGUCCCCAGUGGCAGAGCCCGGCGCCUUCCCGGGUAACUUUUCCCUUCAGUAGGUGGAAGGUUACAUUGGAGGAAAAUAGUCCCUCCUGUGUAAAAAGUUUUCAGGGGAAAAGCGCUCGGUCGGACGUGCAGCAAGGAGGGUGGUCGGGUGGGGGUGCAGGCGCUGAGUCCUGGGUCCCGCUAGGCCCAGCGCUGCUGCACGACCCCGCGCCCGGAGGCCUCGCUGCUGGCGACCUCUGAGGGCGGGAUCCCGGUUCCCGCAGAGCGGUGGAGUCUCCAGGAGCAUCUUCCCCUCCCCCGUUGUUUAGGGGAUUGAACCCGACGCCUUCACACUGAGCUACGUUCUCAGCCCCUUUUAAUUAUUUUUCUUUUAAAUCCUAUUUUUGAGACAGUGUCUUGCAAAAUCGCGGACUUACUCAGGCUGGACUCGAAUUUGAGAACCACCUGCCUCAGCCUCCCACAGUGCUGGGAUACAAGGCAUGCAAUAUCACGCUCAAGGUGAGCCUUGCUUUCAAAUUGAUACUUUUCUUUUGUCCUGAUCUCUUCACCUCAAGUCUGCGUUAAGUAGGAGUGCAGGAAAUGAGAACUAUAGAGAAAAAAAUUAAAAUGCAAUCUUUAAAAUACAAAUGUUCCUACUCCCCUUUUCUCUGUCAGAUUACUAUAGGUGUCAAUUACAUGUGGAUAGGCACUCAGAUCAGGCUCGGAAGCUCUAUCUUCUGCAAGCUCUAUCUUCUGCCCUCACCUGGCAUCAAAAUAAGGUUUUCAUGCAGUAGUAAUUUUGUAGAUCAAAGCCUGCACCUCAAAACGACCUCCUGGGAAGUGGCGUUCAUCUACAGUGUUCAUCUACAGUACACCUACAAAGGCAUAGGAGCUGGGCGUGAUGGCACAUUCCAGCACGUGGGAGGCUGAGGAAGGAGGGCCAGCCUAGGCUACAUAGUGAGACCCUGUCUCAGAAAAAGAAAGGAUGGAAGGAAGGAAGAAAGAAGAAAAAGAUUUAGGGUGUGACAGAGACUCAUUUAAUGAUAGCUAAAAGAGUUUUGCCCUAGAAUAAAUUACUGCACGGUUAUGACGGUGGUCUAAUGUGGAAGGCCACAGCAGGAUGGCCCACCACUUCCUGCUUCUUCCCCAGCCCUAAUUGCAACUCCCCUUCCUGUUUGCGCAGGAAGAAAACUCCAAUCAGCUUCCAGCGCGUCAUCAAUGCCCGUCCUAAGCUCCACCCCUGCUCUAAGGCUACAUGUGUCCCACAUCCCCCACCCCCACCCGCGCCCCAUAUUCAGGAGAAAGGAGACAGCGCAGCCACCAUGGAUUGUGUGCUCCUUCCCACGUCGUCAUCGCAAUAAACCUGUUCUUGUACUUUUGCAUCUCCAUUGCGCCAGAAGUGCUUUGCACACAG